GCCCGGUUAGCUCAAUCGGUAGAGCGUGAGACUCUUAAUCUCAAGGUUGCGGGGUAAGUGUUAAACACAUAAAUAUGUAACUUAUCCCAUAUGAAUAUGCAAUUAACCCUAAAAUCGAAUAGUUCGACCCCCGCAUCGGGCU
Molecule: non-coding RNA, 142 nt
Organism: Xylaria arbuscula
Lineage: Eukaryota; Fungi; Ascomycota; Sordariomycetes; Xylariales; Xylariaceae
Source: the annotation of a GenBank genome assembly